AUCAUAGUCUGAGACCCCGAAACUAGACGAGCUACUCCGAAGCAGUCUAAAAGGACUAACCCGUCUCUGUGGCAAAAGAGUGGGAAGACUUCCGAGUAGAGGUGAAAAGCCUACCGAGCCUAGUUAUAGCUGGUUGCUUAAGAAAAGAAUAUGAGUUCAGCCUUAUAAGUUUCUCAAAAAUCAAAAUGAAAGAAUAAAGUAACACAUAAGAGUUAGUCGAAGGGGGUACAGCUCCUUCGAAAAAGAACACAACCUUACCCAGGUAAAUAAGGAUUAUACUAAAAAAGGACAUGACUUUCAACAGUGGGCCCGAAAGCAGCCACCUCUAAUAGAAAGCGUUAAAGCUCAAGAACAGCCACACCAAAAAUAAAAAUAACCACUCCUAAUUUCCUAAUAAUAUUAAGCUACCCUAUUUUAUAGGAGAAAUUAUGCUAAAAUGAGUAAUAAGAGAAACUAGACCCUCUCCGGGCACACGUGUAAAUUAGAGCGGACAAACCACUGACAACUAACGGACCCAAAAAAGAGGGUAAAACAACAAAACUCAAUAAACAAGAAAAACCUAUUAAAACAACCGUUAACCCAACACAGGAGUGCCACUUAAGGAAAGACUAAAAGGGGAAGAAGGAACUCGGCAAACACAAACCUCGCCUGUUUACCAAAAACACCGCCUCCUGCAAAUAGAAUGUAUUGGAGGUCCUGCCUGCCCAGUGACAAUAGGUUCAACGGCCGCGGUAUUUUGACCGUGCAAAGGUAGCGUAAUCACCUGUCUUUUAAAUAAAGACCUGUAUGAAUGGCAAGACGAGGGUUUUACUGUCUCCUCCCCCCAGUCAAUGAAAUUGAUCUACCCGUGCAGAAGCGGGUAUAAAAACAUAAGACGAGAAGACCCUAUGGAGCUUUAGGCACACAUCAAAUAUGUAAAAAACCAAAUCUUCCAAAUAGGCCUAAAAAAUGAGAAAAACAAGUAUUAAUGAUUAAUUGCCUUCGGUUGGGGCGACCACGGGGAAAAAUAAAACCCCCACAUGGAAUGGGUAAAAUUAUCCUAAGCCAAGAAAAACAAUUCUAAGCAACAAAAUUUUUGACCAAUAAACGACCCAGGGACAACAUCCCUGAGCAAUGAACCAAGUUACCCUAGGGAUAACAGCGCAAUCCUUUCCCAGAGCCCAUAUCAACGAAAGGGUUUACGACCUCGAUGUUGGAUCAGGGCAUCCUAACGGUGCAGCCGCUGUUAAGGGUUC
RNAcentral lists this ribosomal RNA (1235 nucleotides) under Conger myriaster (whitespotted conger). RNAcentral's name for it is "partial 16S ribosomal RNA". It matches the Rfam family "Bacterial large subunit ribosomal RNA", at positions 699 to 2574 of the family's 2925-position model. The record is from RNAcentral. Lineage: Eukaryota; Metazoa; Chordata; Actinopteri; Anguilliformes; Congridae.